GGAGGGUGUGAGAGGGAGGUGAGAAAGAUGUCUAGGACAGAGAAAGGGAGGUUGCAGUAUUCCACAUUCCAGUGCAAGCACGAGGAGGCGCAGGAGAGGGAGACACUUAAGUCAAACACCUACCACAUUCAUAUCUACUGACACGCCAGCACUGAUUUCAAGGAGAAUAUAUCCAUACCGCAUACAGGAAGAAAAUCAACACCAUGUCAAAAAUUACACGCAAGUGAGGAAACACACCAAAUCUAAAUCACAAGGAAAUCUCAUUCCCAGUAAGUGGCCUAUGAAACAAACUUCAAUAAUCUGCUGAAAGAAGCCUCUUCUCAUAUUUUAUGGGAAUAGAGAGAAAAGAGAGACUUCAAGAUAAUGAGGGAGAGAAGAGUUCUUACAUAUCAAGAAAAAUCUUCAAGACUGAAAUGGCACUUCUCACAGCAUUCAUAUGAACUGCAUAAAGUAUCUUCUGGGAGGUUCUGUGACUUCAUGGUGUCAUUAUGGAUUUCAUUUGCAAUUCACUAAAAAAAAAAGUGGAUAAUGACUGUACUCAGCACUACUGGAUUAUAGCCAUCACC
RNAcentral lists this long non-coding RNA (566 nucleotides) under Homo sapiens (human). Its description in RNAcentral is "HSALNT0343692". The record is from RNAcentral. Lineage: Eukaryota; Metazoa; Chordata; Mammalia; Primates; Hominidae.